RNAcentral lists this ribosomal RNA (432 nucleotides) under Triticum aestivum (bread wheat). RNAcentral describes it as "partial small subunit ribosomal RNA". Lineage: Eukaryota; Viridiplantae; Streptophyta; Magnoliopsida; Poales; Poaceae. The record is from RNAcentral.
AUGAAAAUCCUACAGCGCGAGGCAGAACCGGCGAACGGGAAGAUCGAGCCGGAGCUCAAGACGAAGAGGGCCGACGCGGCGGCGUCGGCGGCCUUCACGGCGCUCGAGUUCGCCGCGGCCGAGCAGCUCCUCCACCUCCGCCGGAGCAGCGCCUCCUCGGGCACCCCUCGCGCCCGCCCGGUCGCCACCUCCGUGGCUCCCUCGGGCAGCUCCUUCUCCUCCUCCCUGCGCUCCGUGAACGCCCCGCCAGCGGCGCCGUCUCCUGGCGCCGUAAUUCUUGGUGGCUGCGUGGACAGGGAGGAAGAGGAGGAGGACCAGGUGGCCGGGAGCCAGCGAAGGGUGAAGCGCUACCGCUUGAUCACUGAGAUCUAUGCCGCGACGGAGGAAAUUGGGGGUCGCAGUGGCGGCAGCCGGAAGAACAAGAAGGAAUAG